AGUGAACGCUGGCGGUAGGCCUAACACAUGCAAGUCGAACGGCAGCACAGUAAGAGCUUGCUCUUACGGGUGGCGAGUGGCGGACGGGUGAGGAAUACAUCGGAAUCUACUUUUUCGUGGGGGAUAACGUAGGGAAACUUACGCUAAUACCGCAUAUGACCUACGGGUGAAAGCAGGGGAUCUUCGGACCUUGCGCGAUUGAAUGAGCCGAUGUCGGAUUAGCUAGUUGGCGGGGUAAAGGCCCACCAAGGCGACGAUCCGUAGCUGGUCUGAGAGGAUGAUCAGCCACACUGGAACUGAGACACGGUCCAGACUCCGACGGGAGGCAGCAGUGGGGAAUAUUGGACAAGGGGCGCAAGCCUGAUCCAGCCAUACCGCGUGGGUGAAGAAGGCCUUCGGGUUGUAAAGCCCUUUUGUUGGGAAAGAAAAGCAGCAGGUUAAUACCCCGCUGUUCUGACGGUACCCAAAGAAUAAGCACCGGCUAACUUCGU
This 491-nucleotide ribosomal RNA is filed under the name uncultured bacterium. Its description in RNAcentral is "partial 16S ribosomal RNA". It matches the Rfam family "Bacterial small subunit ribosomal RNA", at positions 29 to 506 of the family's 1533-position model. The record is from RNAcentral.